Molecule: ribosomal RNA, 253 nt
Filed under: uncultured bacterium
Lineage: Bacteria
Description: partial 16S ribosomal RNA
Rfam family: Bacterial small subunit ribosomal RNA
Source: RNAcentral
UACGAAGGGUGCAAGCGUUACUCGGAAUUACUGGGCGUAAAGCGUGCGUAGGUGGUUUGUUAAGUCUGAUGUGAAAGCCCUGGGUUCAACCUGGGAAUUGCAUUGGAUACUGGCAGGCUAGAGUGCGGUAGAGGAUGGCGGAAUUCCCGGUGUAGCAGUGAAAUGCGUAGAGAUCGGGAGGAACAUCUGUGGCGAAGGCGGCCAUCUGGACCAGCACUGACACUGAGGCACGAAAGCGUGGGGAGCAAACAGG